This 235-nucleotide ribosomal RNA is filed under the name uncultured bacterium. Its description in RNAcentral is "partial 16S ribosomal RNA". It matches the Rfam family "Bacterial small subunit ribosomal RNA", at positions 524 to 758 of the family's 1533-position model. The record is from RNAcentral.
UACGUAGGAUGCAAGCGUUAAUCGGAAUUACUGGGCGUAAAGCGUGCGCAGGCGGUUUUGUAAGUCUGUCGUGAAAGCCCCGGGCUCAACCUGGGAAUUGCGAUGGAGACUGCAAGGCUUGAAUCUGGCAGAGGGGGGUAGAAUUCCACGUGUAGCAGUGAAAUGCGUAGAGAUGUGGAGGAACACCGAUGGCGAAGGCAGCCCCCUGGGUCAAGAUUGACGCUCAUGCUCGAAA